CCGAGUUUACAACUCCCAAACCCCUGUGAACUUAUACCGUCACGUUGCUUCGGCGGGAAUCGCCCCGGCUGCCCCUCGCGGGCGGACCGGAUCCCAGUGCGCCCGCCGGAGGACCAACAAACUCUUCUGUCUCUCAUAGCGGCAUGUCUGAGUGGAUUUUAUACAAAUGAAUCA
RNAcentral lists this unclassified non-coding RNA (174 nucleotides) under uncultured fungus. RNAcentral describes it as "sequence contains ITS1, 5.8S rRNA gene". RNAcentral also lists the same sequence under 1 other name. Lineage: Eukaryota; Fungi. The record is from RNAcentral.